RNAcentral lists this small RNA (195 nucleotides) under Arabidopsis thaliana (thale cress). Its description in RNAcentral is "ATSL240980". Lineage: Eukaryota; Viridiplantae; Streptophyta; Magnoliopsida; Brassicales; Brassicaceae. The record is from RNAcentral.
CCUCGAGGUCGUAGCCACUCGACUAAGAAAUGUAAAACGGAGAUUUGGUGUGCAGAAAUUUCAGUUGAGAGACGCGGUUUAGGAGAGCUUUGGGGAAGAUUUAGUUUUAGUUUUCGAGAUAGUUUUAUAUAUAUUUUUUUGUGGGAGUUUUUUUGAACAUCUUGAAUCUGAUUUCAAGAGAUAAUACACAAAAUU